UCCGCUUCGCUGCCUCAGAAGCCUGUCCGAAACCAGUUUCAUGAGGUGCCUUCAUGCAAAAACGCUGCCUUCAAAGUCAUUGGCUCAUAAGGCAGUGAGACAAGUCAGCUGCUUAGCCUUUUGGACACAGCCAGGGAGUCUCAGGCAACCCCAGUUACCACGGUCCUCAGCCCCAGUGCACACUAGAUCCCAAUCACCAGAGCACUGAUUGCCCACACCUGUCUCAGCUCGUUAAGCUCCCUAUAUCACCACACUCUCCACACUGCCUCAUCAUCUAGUCUACAGUUUCCAUUACUGAACUAAGCCUGACUCCUUACCUUGGUACUCACCUGUGUUUACUCACCCAUAGAUGCUCCUUCGCUCCACCGCUCCCGUUCUCCAUGGCUCCUUCGCUCCUCCAGAUCACCUGCAUGAGACAAUCAUCUGUUACCAUCAGACAAUUAUACUACCCCAGACAAAAACAAUAUUUUCACAUUUUAAAAUCUGCUGUUACAGUAUUAUUAGUUCAUGUACUAUAAAAUUCCCUGAAAAAUAUGCCUACACAUAAAUUGUUUUUAUGAUUCCUUAACAGUGAACAUAACAAUGCAUUAAAAUCCAAGUGUUUAUCAUUGCAGAGGGAUGGGGGAAACACGAUAUGCCUUGUGCUUUUUCCUUUCUUUAUUAUUAUUAUUAUUUUGUUUGUUUAAAAAAAGCUAAACUAAGAAACUGGACUGAUGAUAAAGACAUAAAGUGACCGUAAGCAGGACGGCCUCUGCACAAUCUAGUUGGACAAGCAGUGAACUUGAUUAACUUGCUGUUCUAGAGAAAAGACAGGAAAAAAAGAACAACGUAAGCACACUUUUAAAGUCAGCGUGACCGCAGUUUAAGCAUUAUUUAAUUUGUUCAUUUAUUGGUUUUCCUACAUUUUUACUAAAAACUAUAGUAUAUGUACAAUAAUAAAGAUAACGUGCUUGUUUUUUUGUUUUUUUUAAUUAUCAGAUACUUUGUGCUUUAUAUGUUGUGUUUAUAUGGAUAUAUUUUAUAUUAUUUUGUAAGUUUAAUUAGCUAGCCUGAAAUAAUAGCUUGAUGUUGUGUGUGUAUUGUGUGUAUAAAAAGACAAUUCAUUUUCUUUUAGGUUUAAACUUUAGUUAUUAGAAUUUGCUUUAUAUAAAAACAAGAUAAGUCAAAAUUUUGAACAUUUUUAUCUAGAUGUUCUAAUUUAGAUAAAUACAUACUAAGCAGCUUUCAGGAAGUCCACAACCUCAUACUGUCCAUAGGUUUUGCCUAAAAAAAGGCAAAAUGCUAAUAAAAAAGUCUAUGAAUGGAAGGAUGACAACAUUUUUAACUUACUGUAUCUUAACAUACACAUUUGUCAUUUGCUUUGCCAACACAGAAGACACGUUUACAUUUAGAAUUAAUCAUGGUCUGAUGUCUGUAACUUACUCAUGCCACUUCAUGAAUGAAAUGACAACUGAACCAACUGAAGUCACCUGUCAGUUAUAAACAGCAAAUUGUUUGGAAGAAUUUAAGAAUUCUUGCUCUUUAUCAAACUGUCACUUGGCCAUCAUUUGCUUUGCAUAACAGAUUGGUGAAACAUUACAGCUGACUGACUGAAGGUUUGAUAGUCAACAAGACACCUGUUGUCGUGAUUAGAUCCAGAUUCCAGGAAUAUCUUUGCUGUCUCAAUAUAAUGUUGUUUGGGAGCAUUUUAAAAGUUCAUGAAAGUCCCUGAAUGACUGGUCAGACCUGAGUAAACACUGCAGAUGAAGGGGGUGAGAUGAAAUGUGUGUGUUUGUGUGUGAGAGAGUGUCCUGCAGCUCAUCACAGGAGAGGUACUUCAGACCUGAGUUUGGCCCUACCCAACCCGACCUCUGACAAAUCUGGUGGCAGUCACCCUUCCAGUUUGUUCUGUUUCUCUUCACUAGUCAGAGUAUCUGCCAGACAUGAAACUUGAAUCAGAUCCAAGCAAAUCUUGUACGCCCAGAAAUCCCGCCAGGAAAUGUCACCCUGUGUCACUGUAUAUUUAAAGGAAAGUGUUUUCCAUCAGACUCUAAUGACUCAGAGCGAGACCGAAAGCUGCUCCCAGGUCAGUUGAACCUGUCAUUGUUUUUAAAAGGGGGUGACAUGUUUGGACUUGUACGGCAAACAGAAAAGACGUGGAACUCUGGCGUUUCAAUGACAACUCCAUAAACACAACUCUAGCAGGAGAAUGCACAUUUUGAGACCUGGACCACAACCAGAUUUUUUUUUUUUUUUCUGUAAAUAAACUCUUUAAUGGCUUUGAAUGCAAAUAAAGGCUAACAUAUAUGACUUUAAAAAAAGUCUCCUCGUGAUUAAUCUAAUUAAGCACUUCUAAUCAUUCUGUCUCAUGACACUAUACUAAUCUCUUAAUGAGGUUGACACCAUGUGUAGUUCUGAUCGUGUGUUGCACCACAGAAAGAGAAUAAUAAGACGUUUAGAGGCUGUUGAUGGUCCAUAGAGGAUUUGAGUAAAAGGGGGAGAUUUCGUCCUAGUUUCCUGUGUUGUGGCAUAAUUUGCUUUGUUAGAAAGAUUAUAAUGUGGUCAUUAAGAUACAUUUUUAUUAGUGUGUUAAUUGUCAUAUAGGCCAAGGUUUUGUACUGUGUCAUCUGGCUAGCAUACUGGCUAGA
This is a long non-coding RNA of Cyprinus carpio (common carp), 2627 nucleotides long. RefSeq lists it as uncharacterized. The record is from RefSeq and is a predicted model, not a curated record. Lineage: Eukaryota; Metazoa; Chordata; Actinopteri; Cypriniformes; Cyprinidae.